This 253-nucleotide ribosomal RNA is filed under the name uncultured bacterium. RNAcentral's name for it is "partial 16S ribosomal RNA". It matches the Rfam family "Bacterial small subunit ribosomal RNA", at positions 524 to 776 of the family's 1533-position model. The record is from RNAcentral.
GACGUAGGAAGCAAGCGUUGUCCGGAAUUACUGGGCGUAAAGGGUGCGUAGGCGGUCUUUUAAGUCUGAUGUGAAAUCCUGUGGCUUAACCAUAGAACUGCAUCAGAUACUGGGGGACUGGAGUGCGGAAGAGGUUGACGGAAUUACUAGUGUAGCGGUAGAAUGCGUAGAUAUUAGUAAGAAGACCGGAGGCGAAGGCGGUCAACUGGGACGUAACUGACGCUGAGGCACGAAAGCGUGGGGAGCAAACAGG